Molecule: long non-coding RNA, 754 nt
Organism: Amborella trichopoda
Lineage: Eukaryota; Viridiplantae; Streptophyta; Magnoliopsida; Amborellales; Amborellaceae
Source: RefSeq, a predicted model, not a curated record
GUUCUUUUUCUUCAUAGAUUUCAUAAACUUUAUAGAGUUUCAGAGAUUUCAGGAAGUUUAUAGAGUUGGUUUCAUCUGCGAUGAAGAUACUGGAAGUUAUAUUGACAUUGAAGUCCUCUAAAGAACACCAUGCAACACGAUGGCCAAACAAGAUUUAUGCAGUUCUCGCAGUCCAGCAGGCAAAGCUGAAAACAAAGAUGAUCAAGACAAAUCAAGAUGAUUUCGCAUGGAAAGGGAAGUUCGUCUUCCAGGUCGAAGAUUUUUUUCUCAUAAAACCGGAUGCAUUCCUGAAUCUCAAAAUCUACCGCCCGCGCCGACUGCUCAGCAAUGAGCUUUUGGGUUAUGCAAGAACCCCAGCGAGCGGUGUGAUGAGAUUCGAGGGUUGGAGUUUCUCUUCCUUGCCUGUGAGCGGCCUGUCCGACAUGCCUCUAGGCCUCGUCAACUUCGGUCUGGUUCUGUGGCCUGCACGACACGCUACGAUGGAGUUUUUCAAGGAAAAGGGAGGGAUGGAGAUCUAUGGAUUAUAGGUAGUCCACAAGAGGGAUGGAUGGAUGGAUCUUGAAGGGAAGGAGAGAGAUGGAGCUCUACGGAUUAUAGGUAGUCCACAAGAGGGAUGGAUCACAUGAAAGAGCUAGUAGUUAUUAUCUUCUCUAAUAGUUUGCGUCAAAGUUCCUGUAAAUCUUUUCUUUUUCGUUCUUUUGUAGUUAUUCUUAUGCAUAAGGAAAGUAGUAAAUUUUAUUUGUUUUUCUUUCAC